UACGUAGGGUGCAAGCGUUAAUCGGAAUUACUGGGCGUAAAGCGUGCGCAGGCGGUUUUGUAAGUCAGAUGUGAAAUCCCCGGGCUUAACCUGGGAACUGCGUUUGAAACUACAAGGCUAGAGUGUGGCAGAGGGGGGGUGGAAUUCCACGUGUAGCAGUGAAAUGCGUAGAGAUGUGGAGGAACACCGAUGGCGAAGGCAGCCCCCUGGGUUAACACUGACGCUCAGGCACGAAAGCGUGGGGAGCAAACAGG
Molecule: ribosomal RNA, 254 nt
Filed under: uncultured bacterium
Lineage: Bacteria
Description: partial 16S ribosomal RNA
Rfam family: Bacterial small subunit ribosomal RNA
Source: RNAcentral